This 253-nucleotide ribosomal RNA is filed under the name uncultured bacterium. RNAcentral's name for it is "partial 16S ribosomal RNA". It matches the Rfam family "Bacterial small subunit ribosomal RNA", at positions 524 to 776 of the family's 1533-position model. The record is from RNAcentral.
UACGUAGGUGGCAAGCGUUAUCCGGAUUUACUGGGUGUAAAGGGCGUGUAGGCGGGACUGCAAGUCAGAUGUGAAAAUUAUGGGCUCAACCCAUAACCUGCAUUUGAAACUGUAGUUCUUGAGUGAGGGAGAGGCAGGCGGAAUUCCGUGUGUAGCGGUGAAAUGCGUAGAUAUACGGAGGAACACCAGUGGCGAAGGCGGCCUGCUGGACAUUAACUGACGCUGAGGCGCGAAAGCGUGGGGAGCAAACAGG